RNAcentral lists this transfer RNA (58 nucleotides) under Apaloderma vittatum (bar-tailed trogon). It matches the Rfam family "tRNA", at positions 8 to 63 of the family's 71-position model. Rfam says of the family: Transfer RNA (tRNA) molecules are approximately 80 nucleotides in length. The record is from Rfam by way of RNAcentral. Lineage: Eukaryota; Metazoa; Chordata; Aves; Trogoniformes; Trogonidae.
UAGCUCAGUCAGUUGAGCGUGGCGCUAACAAUGCCAAGGUCACGGGUUCGAUUCCCAU